GCUUACUACGGAAGUGCGUAAAGUAGGCUCAUUCUUUGGUUUAUAAAGAUCUUGUAGUAGCCGAAGGUAGUCCGCUUGUUAGAUUGAAUUGAAUCUUAUAUAACAACCGGGGCCUUAUUAAUUAAGAGACUUUAUCAAUAGUAUAAGUGGACCUCUCAAAGGUAUAAGUAGACAUUAGUCUUGCUGGUUCGGGCGGUAAGGCCCUGGGUAAGCUCGGGGCAGCCAGUCAGGGUGAAUGCGAGUAGUGGAUGUAGCUUUUCUUCUGAAGCGUCUUAGUUCGUAGCUGCCGAAGUGUAGCAUUAAGGUGAGGAGCGCACUAGCUAGGUGCAGUCUCCUUUCGGAACUACUUCUUUUCCUUUGUCUCUCUGCUAUCCCAUCCACUAAACUGUCAGUAUCGAGACAAGUUCGGAAUGUUGGCUGAGCGUAGACUAGUCUGUUCAGGCAGUCACAGGCUUGCUAAAGCUAAAAACGGAACUUAGCUUCUCACUGACUACAUCAGAAGCGAAAUCCUCAACUUCAAAUACAAUGCGAGCUGGAACGGGGUUGCCUUAGCUACUGUGGUGUACAUAUGCCAGGAAUCACACCAUAGCCGGAGUCGAUCGAGUGAGGAUAAACCUACCUACCU
This 625-nucleotide long non-coding RNA is filed under the name Nicotiana benthamiana. RNAcentral describes it as "long non-coding RNA (NBEN_LNC010750)". The record is from RNAcentral. Lineage: Eukaryota; Viridiplantae; Streptophyta; Magnoliopsida; Solanales; Solanaceae.